Molecule: ribosomal RNA, 234 nt
Filed under: uncultured bacterium
Lineage: Bacteria
Description: partial 16S ribosomal RNA
Rfam family: Bacterial small subunit ribosomal RNA
Source: RNAcentral
ACUCCUACGGGGAGGCAGCAGUGGGGGAAUCUUGCGCAAAUGGGGCGAAAGCCUGACGCAGCCAUGCCGCGUGAAUGAUGAAGGUCUUAGGAUUGUAAAAAUUCUUUCACCGGGGACGAUAAUGACGGUACCCGGAGAAGAAAGCCCCCGGGCUAAACUUCGUGCCCAUGCAUGCCGCGGUAAAUACGAAGGGGGCUAGCGUUGCUCGGAAUUACUGGGCGUAAAGGGAGCGUA